Molecule: transfer RNA, 82 nt
Filed under: Cordylochernes scorpioides
Lineage: Eukaryota; Metazoa; Arthropoda; Arachnida; Pseudoscorpiones; Chernetidae
Description: tRNA-Thr
Source: RNAcentral
UGUCCAGGGAUGGGAAUCGAACCCACAGUGUUCCGCUUACCGGGCAGAUGCCAUGUCCACUAGGCUAUGUGUUUGUCGAAAC